Molecule: ribosomal RNA, 517 nt
Filed under: bacterium 4746K6-B12
Lineage: Bacteria
Description: bacterial SSU rRNA
Rfam family: Bacterial small subunit ribosomal RNA
Source: RNAcentral
UAGAGUUUGAUCCUGGCUCAGAUUGAACGCUGGCGGCAGGCCUAACACAUGCAAGUCGAGCGGUAACAUUUCUAGCUUGCUAGAAGAUGACGAGCGGCGGACGGGUGAGUAAUGCUUGGGAACAUGCCUUGAGGUGGGGGACAACAGUUGGAAACGACUGCUAAUACCGCAUAAUGUCUACGGACCAAAGGGGGCUUCGGCUCUCGCCUUUAGAUUGGCCCAAGUGGGAUUAGCUAGUUGGUGAGGUAACGGCUCACCAAGGCGACGAUCCCUAGCUGGUUUGAGAGGAUGAUCAGCCACACUGGGACUGAGACACGGCCCAGACUCCUACGGGAGGCAGCAGUGGGGAAUAUUGCACAAUGGGCGCAAGCCUGAUGCAGCCAUGCCGCGUGUGUGAAGAAGGCCUUCGGGUUGUAAAGCACUUUCAGUCAGGAGGAAAGGUUAGUAGUUAAUACCUGCUAGCUGUGACGUUACUGACAGAAGAAGCACCGGCUAACUCCGUGCCAGCAGCCGCGGU